RNAcentral lists this transfer RNA (72 nucleotides) under Camelus bactrianus (Bactrian camel). It matches the Rfam family "tRNA". Rfam says of the family: Transfer RNA (tRNA) molecules are approximately 80 nucleotides in length. Their secondary structure includes four short double-helical elements and three loops (D, anti-codon, and T loops). The record is from Rfam by way of RNAcentral. RNAcentral also lists the same sequence under 2 other names. Lineage: Eukaryota; Metazoa; Chordata; Mammalia; Artiodactyla; Camelidae.
GUGGGUAGAGCUCAGUGGCAGAGCACAUGCUUAGCAUGCACGAGUUCCUGGGUUCAACCCCUAGUACCUCUA